This 426-nucleotide ribosomal RNA is filed under the name uncultured bacterium. RNAcentral's name for it is "partial 16S ribosomal RNA". It matches the Rfam family "Bacterial small subunit ribosomal RNA", at positions 354 to 796 of the family's 1533-position model. The record is from RNAcentral.
GUGAGGAAUUUUCCGCAAUGGGCGAAAGCCUGACGGAGCAAUGCCGCGUGAAGGAUGAAGGCCUAUGGGUUGUAAACUUCUUUUCUCAGAAAAGAAUUAUGACGGUAUCUGAGUAAUAAGCAUCGACUAACUCUGUGCCAGGAGCCGCGGUAAGACAGAGGAUGCAAGCGUUAUCCGGAAUGAUUGGGCGUUAAGCGUCUGUAGGUUGUUUAACAAGUAUUCUGUCAAAGAUUAGGGCUUAAACCUAGAUAGGCAGAAUAAACUUUUAAGCUAGAGUUUGGUGGAAGCAGAGGGAAUUCCCGGUGGAGCGGUGAAAUGCGUAGAUAUCGGGAGGAACCCCAAAGGCGAAGGCACUCUGCUGGGCCAAUACUAACACUGAGAGACGAAAGCGAGGGGAGCAAAUGGGAUUAGAAACCCGUGUAGUCC